UCUGCAGUGGGUACGGGCAGACUAGAGUGCAGUAGGGGAGACUGGAAUUCCUGGUGUAGCGGUGAAAUGCGCAGAUAUCAGGAGGAACACCGAUGGCGAAGGCAGGUCUCUGGGCUGUUACUGACGCUGAGGAGCGAAAGCAUGGGGAGCGAACAGGAUUAGAUACCCUGGUAGUCCAUGCCGUAAACGUUGGGCACUAGGUGUGGGGGACAUUCCACGUUUUCCGCGCCGUAGCUAACGCAUUAAGUGCCCCGCCUGGGGAGUACGGCCGCAAGGCUAAAACUCAAAGGAAUUGACGGGGGCCCGCACAAGCGGCGGAGCAUGCGGAUUAAUUCGAUGCAACGCGAAGAACCUUACCAAGGCUUGACAUUCACCGGACCGCCCCAGAGAUGGGGUUUCCCUUCGGGGCUGGUGGACAGGUGGUGCAUGGUUGUCGUCAGCUCGUGUCGUGAGAUGUUGGGUUAAGUCCCGCAACGAGCGCAACCCUCGUUCUAUGUUGCCAGCACGUGAUGGUGGGGACUCAUAGGAGACUGCCGGGGUCAACUCGGAGGAAGGUGGGGAUGACGUCAAAUCAUCAUGCCCCUUAUGUCUUGGGCUUCACGCAUGCUACAAUGGCCGGUACAAAGGGUUGCGAUACUGUGAGGUGGAGCUAAUCCCAAAAAGCCGGUCUCAGUUCGGAUUGAGGUCUGCAACUCGACCUCAUGAAGUCGGAGUCGCUAGUAAUCGCAGAUCAGCAACGCUGCGGUGAAUACGUUCCCGGGCCUUGUACACACCGCCCGUCAAGUCACGAAAGUUGGUAACACCCGAAGCCGGUGGCCUAACCCCUUGUGGGAGGGAGCC
RNAcentral lists this ribosomal RNA (840 nucleotides) under unidentified microorganism. Its description in RNAcentral is "bacterial SSU rRNA". It matches the Rfam family "Bacterial small subunit ribosomal RNA", at positions 620 to 1454 of the family's 1533-position model. The record is from RNAcentral.